CCCAUGUGGAAUCGCCUGUUUUCAUGGAACUUAAUAGGGUUGGGGAGUGUCUUCCUGAAUAUAGUGGUGCCCCCCUUUUGCCGGCAGACGAUCAACCAUUUUUGAUAUAUUGUUGGUCAAAGUUUUGGGCGAAUGUUUGACUACAGUUUGGAAUCACCGUAUCAAAUUAGCUCUCGUGGUAGUCUUGUGGAUACGAGCUUUGCUAAGGGGGUUCGGCCUCAGUUCGAGUCCUGCUGCCGACAUGAAUUUUCUUUCCUUUCAUUUUUUUGUUUAUUUAUGGGAUAUUUUGUUGUAGCAAGAAUGACUGAAACAUUGAAUUUUUUAUUAUUUUUUUUUUGUCAUUUUUGACAAGUAGAAUCAAAAUCUAGCAACUGUUAGUGAUCUCCA
RNAcentral lists this long non-coding RNA (387 nucleotides) under Androctonus crassicauda. Lineage: Eukaryota; Metazoa; Arthropoda; Arachnida; Scorpiones; Buthidae. The record is from RNAcentral.